AGCGAACGGACGAGAAGCUUGCUUNNUCUGAUGUUAGCGGCGGACGGGUGAGUAACACGUGGAUAACCUACCUAUAAGACUGGGAUAACUUCGGGAAACCGGAGCUAAUACCGGAUAAUAUUUUGAACCGCAUGGUUCAAAAGUGAAAGACGGUCUUGCUGUCACUUAUAGAUGGAUCCGCGCUGCAUUAGCUAGUUGGUAAGGUAACGGCUUACCAAGGCAACGAUGCAUAGCCGACCUGAGAGGGUGAUCGGCCACACUGGAACUGAGACACGGUCCAGACUCCUACGGGAGGCAGCAGUAGGGAAUCUUCCGCAAUGGGCGAAAGCCUGACGGAGCAACGCCGCGUGAGUGAUGAAGGUCUUCGGAUCGUAAAACUCUGUUAUUAGGGAAGAACAUAUGUGUAAGUAACUGUGCACAUCUUGACGGUACCUAAUCAGAAAGCCACGGCUAACUACGUGCC
Molecule: ribosomal RNA, 463 nt
Filed under: Staphylococcus aureus
Lineage: Bacteria; Bacillati; Bacillota; Bacilli; Caryophanales; Staphylococcaceae
Description: bacterial SSU rRNA
Rfam family: Bacterial small subunit ribosomal RNA
Source: RNAcentral